GAUGAACGCUAGCUACAGGCUUAACACAUGCAAGUCGAGGGGUUUCAGGAAGAAAGCUUGCUUUCUUUGCUGGCGACCGGCGCACGGGUGAGUAACACGUAUCCAACCUGCCCUUUACUCGGGGAUAGCCUUUCGAAAGAAAGAUUAAUACCCGAUGGCAUAAUGAUUCCGCAUGGUUUCAUUAUUAAAGGAUUCCGGUAAAGGAUGGGGAUGCGUUCCAUUAGGUUGUUGGUGAGGUAACGGCUCACCAAGCCUUCGAUGGAUAGGGGUUCUGAGAGGAAGGUCCCCCACAUUGGAACUGAGACACGGUCCAAACUCCUACGGGAGGCAGCAGUGAGGAAUAUUGGUCAAUGGGCGCUAGCCUGAACCAGCCAAGUAGCGUGAAGGAUGAAGGCUCUAUGGGUCGUAAACUUCUUUUAUAUAAGAAUAAAGUGCAGUAUGUAUACUGUUUUGUAUGUAUUAUAUGAAUAAGGAUCGGCUAACUCCGUGCCAGCAGCCGCGGUAAUACGGAGGAUCCGAGCGUUAUCCGGAUUUAUUGGGUUUAAAGGGAGCGUAGGUGGACUGGUAAGUCAGUUGUGAAAGUUUGCGGCUCAACCGUAAAAUUGCAGUUGAUACUGUCAGUCUUGAGUACAGUAGAGGUGGGCGGAAUUCGUGGUGUAGCGGUGAAAUGCUUAGAUAUCACGAAGAACUCCGAUUGCGAAGGCAGCUCACUGGACUGCAACUGACACUGAUGCUCGAAAGUGUGGGUAUCAAACAGGAUUAGAUACCCUGGUAGUCCACACAGUAAACGAUGAAUACUCGCUGUUUGCGAUAUACAGUAAGCGGCCAAGCGAAAGCAUUAAGUAUUCCACCUGGGGAGUACGCCGGCAACGGUGAAACUCAAAGGAAUUGACGGGGGCCCGCACAAGCGGAGGAACAUGUGGUUUAAUUCGAUGAUACGCGAGGAACCUUACCCGGGCUUAAAUUGCAGUGGAAUGAUGUGGAAACAUGUCAGUGAGCAAUCACCGCUGUGAAGGUGCUGCAUGGUUGUCGUCAGCUCGUGCCGUGAGGUGUCGGCUUAAGUGCCAUAACGAGCGCAACCCUUAUCUUUAGUUACUAACAGGUUAUGCUGAGGACUCUAGAGAGACUGCCGUCGUAAGAUGUGAGGAAGGUGGGGAUGACGUCAAAUCAGCACGGCCCUUACGUCCGGGGCUACACACGUGUUACAAUGGGGGGUACAGAAGGCAGCUAGCGGGUGACCGUAUGCUAAUCCCAAAAGCCUCUCUCAGUUCGGAUCGAAGUCUGCAACCCGACUUCGUGAAGCUGGAUUCGCUAGUAAUCGCGCAUCAGCCACGGCGCGGUGAAUACGUUCCCGGGCCUUGUACACACCGCCCGUCAAGCCAUGGGAGCCGGGGGUACCUGAAGUACGUAACCGCAAGGAUCGUCCUAGGGUA
RNAcentral lists this ribosomal RNA (1433 nucleotides) under uncultured organism. RNAcentral's name for it is "SSU rRNA". It matches the Rfam family "Bacterial small subunit ribosomal RNA". The record is from RNAcentral.